GAUUAACGCUGGCGGCGUGCAUAACACAUGCAAGUCGAACGAUGAAACUUAAAUGAUUUCUUCGGAAUGAACUUAAGUGGAUUAGUGGCGGACGGGUGAGUAACGCGUGAGUAACCUGCCUUACACAAGGGGAUAGCCGUUGGAAACGACGAAUAAUACCCUAUGAAACUAUCACUUCGCAUGAAGCGAUAGUCAAAGUGUUAGCGGUGUAAGAUGGACUUGCGUCUGAUUAGCUAGUUGGUGAGAAAAAAGCCCACCAAGGCAACGAUCAGUAGCCGGCUUGAGAGAGCGUACGGCCACAUUGGGACUGAGACACGGCCCAGACUCCUACGGGAGGCAGCAGUGGGGAAUUUUGCACAAUGGGGGAAACCCUGAUGCAGCGACGCCGCGUGAUUUAGAAGGCCUUCGGGUUGUAAAAAUCUUUUGUAUAGGAAGAAAAUGACAGUACUAUACGAAUAAGGUCCGGCUAAUUACGUG
RNAcentral lists this ribosomal RNA (477 nucleotides) under uncultured bacterium. RNAcentral's name for it is "partial 16S ribosomal RNA". It matches the Rfam family "Bacterial small subunit ribosomal RNA", at positions 28 to 507 of the family's 1533-position model. The record is from RNAcentral.